CGAGUCUAGUGCUAUGGUGGCACCAGCUAUCAUUCAGGGUACGCUUUCUGUUCAUAAUUCUACCACUUGUGCUUUGAUUUAUCGAUCCUGUCACUGACUUAACAAUGCCUAUUACAAGUGUGGGAGCACACAACACUUUAUAAAGGACUAUCCCCAGAAUCCACGGGACAUUACUAGACUUAUUACCCAACAUCUGGACGAGUCUGGUGCUGUGACGACACUAGCUAUCAUUCAGGGU
This 238-nucleotide long non-coding RNA is filed under the name Carica papaya (papaya). RNAcentral describes it as "long non-coding RNA (CPAP_LNC009021)". Lineage: Eukaryota; Viridiplantae; Streptophyta; Magnoliopsida; Brassicales; Caricaceae. The record is from RNAcentral.